CGGUCGAUGGAUUUUGGCCGUGGGGUAGUAUUCAUAAUUCAGAUGAGUAUUUAUAUGUAUGUGUAGGUAUCAGGUAUUGCGAGUCCAUGGCUUCCAAUAGAUGCAAGCAUCUACUGUUAAUUACCCCCUUGAGAUUGGGGCACCUUCGAUUAAGAGACCUUUAUAUCUUGGAUGAGAUGGAUCGUAUCUCGGUUUAUUGAAUCCUAAGUAUAUGUAUUAGGAUUCAGUUGGAUUUGAGGUUGAUUAGGCCCUAAGUAUAUGUGUUAAGACCUAAUCGAUAUUAAACUCUAUGUAUUAGAGUUUAAUUGGUUCAUGAGAUAUGGGUAUGAGAUCUGGGUAUUGGUUCAUGGGAUUUGGGUAUUGGUUUAUGAGAUUUGGGUAUUGGUUCAUGGGCUAUGGGUAUUGGUUUAUGAGAUUUGAAGAUGAUUUAGUUCAUGGCUCAUAGGAUUUGGCCUAUGGUUCAUGAGGUUGGGUAUAUGGUCCAUGGGAUUU
RNAcentral lists this long non-coding RNA (492 nucleotides) under Ananas comosus (pineapple). RNAcentral's name for it is "long non-coding RNA (ACOM_LNC005507)". The record is from RNAcentral. Lineage: Eukaryota; Viridiplantae; Streptophyta; Magnoliopsida; Poales; Bromeliaceae.